Molecule: ribosomal RNA, 395 nt
Filed under: uncultured bacterium
Lineage: Bacteria
Description: bacterial SSU rRNA
Rfam family: Bacterial small subunit ribosomal RNA
Source: RNAcentral
GACGAACGCUGGCGGCGUGCUUAACACAUGCAAGUCGAGCGGUAAGGCCCUUUCGGGGGUACACGAGCGGCGAACGGGUGAGUAACACGUGGGUGACCUGCCCUUAGCUCUGGGAUAAGCCUGGGAAACUGGGUCUAAUACCGGAUAUGACUCCAUGACGCAUGUUGUGGGGUGGAAAGCCUUGUGCGGCUAGGGAUGGGCCUGCGGCCUAUCAGCUUGUUGGUGGGGUGAUGGCCUACCAAGGCGACGACGGGUAGCCGGCCUGAGAGGGCGACCGGCCACACUGGGACUGAGACACGGCCCAGACUCCUACGGGAGGCAGCAGUGGGGAAUCUUGCGCAAUGGGCGAAAGCCUGACGCAGCGACGCCGCGUGGGGAUGACGGCCUGUGUAACU